GUCUAUGGCCAUACCACCCUGAAUGCACCUGAUCUCAUAAGCUAAGCAGGGUCGGGCCUGGUUAGUACUUGGAUGGGAGACAGAUCUUCGAAGGAGACUGCUCAGGGACAAACAGUUUGGAGACAAGGCAUUAAAGCC
RNAcentral lists this ribosomal RNA (138 nucleotides) under Castor canadensis (American beaver). The record is from RNAcentral. Lineage: Eukaryota; Metazoa; Chordata; Mammalia; Rodentia; Castoridae.